This 386-nucleotide ribosomal RNA is filed under the name uncultured bacterium. Its description in RNAcentral is "bacterial SSU rRNA". It matches the Rfam family "Bacterial small subunit ribosomal RNA", at positions 28 to 409 of the family's 1533-position model. The record is from RNAcentral.
GACGAACGCUGGCGGCGUGCUUAAUACAUGCAAGUCAACUGAACUUAGGAUAGCAAUAUUUUAAGGGAGGUGGCGCACGGGUGAAGUAACACGUAGGUAAUCUGCCUUUAGGUCUGACAUAACCUACCGAAGGUAGGCUAAAAUCAGAUGAUGCAGCGGCUCGACAUCGAGACAGUUGUUAAAUCUUCGGAGCCUAAAGAUGAGCCUGCGUCUGAUUAGGUAGUUGGCGGUGUAAUGGACCACCAAGCCUGCGAUCAGUAGCUGGUCUGAGAGGAUGAUCAGCCACACUGGAACUGAGACACGGUCCAGACUCCUACGGGAGGCAGGCAGUAAGGAAUAUUGCUCAAUGGCCGAAAGGCGUGAAGCAGCAACGCCGCGUGGAGGAU